AUUGAACGCUGGCGGCAGGCCUAACACAUGCCAGUCGAACGGUAACAGGAAGAAGCUUGCUUCUUUGCUGACGAGUGGCGGACGGGUGAGUAAUGUCUGGGAAACUGCCUGAUGGAGGGGGAUAACUACUGGAAACGGUAGCUAAUACCGCAUAACGUCGCAAGACCAAAGAGGGGGACCUUCGGGCCUCUUGCCAUCGGAUGUGCCCAGAUGGGAUUAGCUAGUAGGUGGGGUAACGGCUCACCUAGGCGACGAUCCCUAGCUGGUCUGAGAGGAUGACCAGCCACACUGGAACUGAGCCACGGUCCAGAGUCCUACGGGAGGCAGCAGUGGGGAAUAUUGCACAAUGGGCGCAAGCCUGAUGCAGCCCUGCCGCGUGUAUGAAGAGGGCCUUCGGGUUGUAAAGUACUUUCAGCGGGGAGGAAGGGAGUAAAGUUAAUACCUUUGCUCAUUGACGUUACCCGCAGAAGAAGCACCGGCUAACUCCGUG
Molecule: ribosomal RNA, 490 nt
Filed under: uncultured bacterium
Lineage: Bacteria
Description: partial 16S ribosomal RNA
Rfam family: Bacterial small subunit ribosomal RNA
Source: RNAcentral